This 115-nucleotide ribosomal RNA is filed under the name Candidatus Diapherotrites archaeon CG09_land_8_20_14_0_10_32_12. The record is from RNAcentral. Lineage: Archaea; Nanobdellati; Candidatus Iainarchaeota.
GUAAACGGCCAUAGCGAUAGGGAAACACCCGGUCCCAUUCCGAACCCGGAAGUUAAGCCUGUCAGCGACAGUACGUACUGCGUAGACGCGCGGGAACAGUUGCACGCUGUUUACA